Non-coding RNA from Brachypodium distachyon (stiff brome), 125 nucleotides. The record is from Rfam. Lineage: Eukaryota; Viridiplantae; Streptophyta; Magnoliopsida; Poales; Poaceae.
CAAUUACUACCUCCGUUUCAUAAUUCUUGUCAAAAUAUUACAUGUAUCUAAACGCUUUUUAGCAAUAGAUACAUCCAUAUUUGGGCAAAUUUGAGACAAGAAUUAUGAAACGGAGGGAGGAACAA